GCUCAGCUGGAAGGGGUGGAGCUGGCUCUUCACACUGAACCUCUUAAGAAAGAUCUGGUUCAAAGCCAAGGUUCUGUCUACCUAGCCCCAUGGCCCACGACGGUGUCUUCUCUCUUGCUGCUUAGCAUUUGUGGCUGUAAUUUUAUCUUCAGUUUUGUGCAUUUGGAUCACCAUGGCAGGCGCUGGGGAUCCAAAGAUGUGUGAGAUGCUGUGACUGCCCUUGAGAAUUUUCCAGUGUGAAAGGGAAGAAGGCAUGGGACAGAAGGAUGAACCACCUCUUAGGAGUGCAGAGAAUGGGACAGGAAUUGUACAAGGAAUCUGGUUUGUAGGUCCACAUCAUGUAAUAAUAUACUGAAAAGGACUGGCUGCUGGGCUUCACUGGCUGGAGAGCCCCUUAGAGCACAGUGCGAGGAGCCCUGCAUUUUGGAGUUAGGAGAUCUGGACUGAAAGCAUCUCUCUGCCAGUAACUACUAACUAUGGGGCUACCCAGUGUCAUCCCUACCCCUCAGCAUUCUUGGAGGCAAAGGGUGGAUGACAGACAUCGCCAUCACUGCCCAGCUCCGUAUGCAGCCUGGUUGCUAGAAUUAAAUGAGCUAGUGUUGUGUGAAAGCCCUUUGAGACUCACGCCCCACGAUGUCACCCUCAUCUUGAUUGCGUUCAAGACUAAGGAAGAAGAGCAGGCAGUGUGAUGGCUGAGGAUAAGGAAGACUGAAAAGAUACUUCCCCACCCAGGUUCCUGGGUGACUCCUCACCAUGCAGAACCUCAGCUCCCCAGCAGGCAAGGGGCUUGGCUAUGGGAUUUCAUUCAUUUUCAAAAGGGUCUUGAGAUUGACUUGCUGGUCAAACAGCAGUUGCUCCUCUGGUUGGGUGCAGAUCCCGUGAGCUGUGGUCAUCAGUUUUCCACUCCCUGUGAUUAUCUUUCUCCAUUAUCCCCGUUGUUGGUUUUCUUUUCUUCAUCUAAAGUGCAUUUGCCUGCGUGCACGUGGCAGAGGUGGUUUCCAGCUGUCAGUGGGAACGCUGAGGGUCCCAGAAAGCCGUCCUGGUCUGAUUCCUGUCAUCCUGACAAAGUCCCGCUCUGAUCUGGCAGCUGGGAUUCUUACAAAGGGGCUCAAUCGCAUUAAUUCCCAUAUUCUGGUUCUGUUUGUUCAAAAGGAAAAAAAGAAAAACCAAAUUGAAAAGAAACUCAUUUUCGAGUUGAAAAUUAUGGGGACGCACAGGGUCCAAAGAGACUUGGCUUAGUAGUCAUCUGCCUUUUUGUUUUAAUAUACUUAAAGCCCCAGAUUCUCUUCACUCCC
This is a long non-coding RNA of Choloepus didactylus (southern two-toed sloth), 1295 nucleotides long. RefSeq lists it as uncharacterized. The record is from RefSeq and is a predicted model, not a curated record. Lineage: Eukaryota; Metazoa; Chordata; Mammalia; Pilosa; Megalonychidae. The transcript has 3 exons.